UGAGGAAUAUUGGUCAAUGGACGCAAGUCUGAACCAGCCAUGCCGCGUGAAGGAUGAAGGCCUUCUGGGUUGUAAACUUCUUUUAUCUGGGAAGAAACCUCCGAUUUCUAUUGGAGUUGACGGUACCAGAGGAAUAAGCACCGGCUAACUCCGUGCCAGCAGCCGCGGUAAUACGGAGGGUGCAAGCGUUAUCCGGAUUUACUGGGUUUAAAGGGUGUGUAGGCGGGCCUUUAAGUCAGUGGUGAAAUCUCCGAGCUUAACUUGGAAACUGCCAUUGAUACUAUUGGUCUUGAAUAUUGUUGAGGUGGGCGGAAUAAGUCAUGUAGCGGUGAAAUGCAUAGAUAUGACUUAGAACACCAAUUGCGAAGGCAGCUCGCUAAACAAUGAUUGACGCUGAGGCACGAAAGCGUGGGGAUCAAACA
This 422-nucleotide ribosomal RNA is filed under the name uncultured Chitinophagaceae bacterium. Its description in RNAcentral is "partial 16S ribosomal RNA". It matches the Rfam family "Bacterial small subunit ribosomal RNA", at positions 355 to 774 of the family's 1533-position model. Lineage: Bacteria; Pseudomonadati; Bacteroidota; Chitinophagia; Chitinophagales; Chitinophagaceae. The record is from RNAcentral.